CACGUAGGGGGCGAGCGUUUUCCGGAUUUAUUGGGCGUAAAGAGCUCGUAGGCGGCUCGGUAAGUCGGGUGUGAAAUUUCAGGGCUCAACCCUGAAAAGCCACCCGAUACUGCUGUGGCUAGAGUCCGGUAGGGGAGUGGGGAAUUCCUGGUGUAGCGGUGAAAUGCGCAGAUAUCAGGAGGAACACCAGCGGCGAAGGCGCCACUCUGGGCCGGUACUGACGCUGAGGAGCGAAAGCGUGGGGAGCAAACAGG
This 254-nucleotide ribosomal RNA is filed under the name uncultured bacterium. RNAcentral's name for it is "partial 16S ribosomal RNA". It matches the Rfam family "Bacterial small subunit ribosomal RNA", at positions 524 to 776 of the family's 1533-position model. The record is from RNAcentral.